This 480-nucleotide ribosomal RNA is filed under the name uncultured bacterium. RNAcentral's name for it is "bacterial SSU rRNA". It matches the Rfam family "Bacterial small subunit ribosomal RNA", at positions 30 to 506 of the family's 1533-position model. The record is from RNAcentral.
UUGGACGCUGGCGGCAUGCUUUACACAUGCAAGUCGAACGGCAGCGCGGGGCAACCUGGCGGCGAGUGGCGAACGGGUGAGUAAUAUAUCGGAACGUACCCAGGAGUGGGGGAUAACGUAGCGAAAGUUACGCUAAUACCGCAUACGAUCUAAGGAUGAAAGCAGGGGACCGCAAGGCCUUGUGCUCCUGGAGCGGCCGAUAUCUGAUUAGCUAGUUGGUGAGGUAAAGGCUCACCAAGGCGACGAUCAGUAGCUGGUCUGAGAGGACGACCAGCCACACUGGAACUGAGACACGGUCCAGACUCCUACGGGAGGCAGCAGGGGGGAAUUUUGGACAAUGGGCGCAAGCCUGAUCCAGCAAUGCCGCGUGAGUGAAGAAGGCCUUCGGGUUGUAAAGCUCUUUUGUCAGGGAAGAAACGGUGCGGGCUAAUAUCCCGUGCUAAUGACGGUACCUGAAGAAUAAGCACCGGCUAACUACGU